GACGAACGCUGGCGGCGUGCUUAACACAUGCAAGUCGAACGGAAAGGCCCCUUUGGGGGUACUCGAGUGGCGAACGGGUGAGUAACACGUGAGUAACCUGCCCUUGACUUCUGGAUAACUUCAGGAAACUGGGGCUAAUACCGGAUAGGAAUCCUUGCUGCAUGGUGGGGGUUGGAAAGCUUCGGCGGUUUUGGAUGGACUCGCGGCUUAUCAGCUUGUUGGUGGGGUAGUGGCUUACCAAGGCUUUGACGGGUAGCCGGCCUGAGAGGGCGACCGGCCACAUUGGGACUGAGAUACGGCCCAGACUCCUACGGGAGGCAGCAGUGGGGAAUAUUGCACAAUGGGCGGAAGCCUGAUGCAGCAACGCCGCGUGCGGGAUGACGGCCUUCGGGUUGUAAACCGCUUUCAGCAGGGGCGAAGCUUGUGGUGACGGUACCUGCAGAAGAAGCACCGGCUAACUACGUG
Molecule: ribosomal RNA, 465 nt
Filed under: uncultured bacterium
Lineage: Bacteria
Description: partial 16S ribosomal RNA
Rfam family: Bacterial small subunit ribosomal RNA
Source: RNAcentral